Molecule: ribosomal RNA, 476 nt
Filed under: Salmonella enterica
Lineage: Bacteria; Pseudomonadati; Pseudomonadota; Gammaproteobacteria; Enterobacterales; Enterobacteriaceae
Description: bacterial SSU rRNA
Rfam family: Bacterial small subunit ribosomal RNA
Source: RNAcentral
AAAUUGAAGAGUUUGAUCAUGGCUCAGAUUGAACGCUGGCGGCAGGCCUAACACAUGCAAGUCGAACGGUAACAGGAAGCAGCUUGCUGCUUCGCUGACGAGUGGCGGACGGGUGAGUAAUGUCUGGGAAACUGCCUGAUGGAGGGGGAUAACUACUGGAAACGGUAGCUAAUACCGCAUAACGUCGCAGGACCAAAGAGGGGGACCUUCGGGCCUCUUGCCAUCAGAUGUGCCCAGAUGGGAUUAGCUUGUUGGUGAGGUAACGGCUCACCAAGGCGACGAUCCCUAGCUGGUCUGAGAGGAUGACCAGCCACACUGGAACUGAGACACGGUCCAGACUCCUACGGGAGGCAGCAGUGGGGAAUAUUGCACAAUGGGCGCAAGCCUGAUGCAGCCAUGCCGCGUGUAUGAAGAAGGCCUUCGGGUUGUAAAGUACUUUCAGCGGGGAGGAAGGUGUUGUGGUUAAUAACCGCAGC